UCCCCAAUAUGGAUAUGUAUUUUUAUAUUUGACUGCUUGUAUUUUUUUGUUAGAUGCAAAUAGUACGGUAUUCCGAACAGACACUAAAAAUAGCUGUCAUCUCAAAGAAUCCAGUGCUUGUGUCACAGUAUGAGAAAGUAGAUGCUGGGGAACAGCGUUUAAUGAAUGAAGCAUUCCAGCCAGCCAGUGAUCUCUUUGGACCUUGCAUUCUCCAUCAGAUUGGAUCACCUCCCACCCUGAGGCCCCCCAAGACUUUGAACAGUUCUUCAGUCAUCCUUACAGAAAGAUACCCUCUCCAGACAAACGCAGUAUUUAUAUACGGUCCAUUGGAUCUCUAUGAAGCACCAGAAUUAUCAGUGAAGAAUAUAUUAAAUGGCUCACGGGCUACUGUAAAGCAUAUUUCUAUCGCUUGAGAGUAAAACUGCUAGAACCAGUUCCUGUUUCUACAACAAGGUGUUCCUUUAGAGUCAAUGAGAACACACAAAACCUACAAAUUCAUGCAGGGGACAUCCUGAAGUUCUUGAAAAAGAAGAAACCUGAAGAUGCCUUCUGUGUUGUGGGAAUAACAAUGAUUGAUCUUUACCCAAGAGACUUGUGGAAUUUUGUCUUUGGACAGGCCUCUUUGACAGAUGGCACUGGUGAGGUGGAUUGAUGAUGAAUCUUCUGGCACACCUGGAGCAACUCCAGAACACAGUCGUGAGGAUAAUGGGAAUUUACUGAAACCCGUGGAAGGAAGCCUUUAAGGAAUGGAAAGAGUGGAUAAUAAAAUGCCUGACUGUUCUCCAAAAAUAAGGACCUUCAAAUAGGAGUGAUUGAAAUAAAUGACUACUUGCAUGUUAUGCUUUCAUUUGGGUGGAAUACUUCAUCAGAAUAAACUAUUGAUCUUGUGCUGUGUCAAAGUAACAGACUAGAACCUUCUUUCAAGUACCUGAAUUGAAAUGAAACUCAUUUUGAAUAAUAAAAACUCUAGAAACUC
RNAcentral lists this long non-coding RNA (976 nucleotides) under Homo sapiens (human). RNAcentral describes it as "non-protein coding lnc-GNA13-2:13". The record is from RNAcentral. Lineage: Eukaryota; Metazoa; Chordata; Mammalia; Primates; Hominidae.